This 496-nucleotide ribosomal RNA is filed under the name uncultured bacterium. Its description in RNAcentral is "partial 16S ribosomal RNA". It matches the Rfam family "Bacterial small subunit ribosomal RNA", at positions 28 to 507 of the family's 1533-position model. The record is from RNAcentral.
GAUGAACGCUGGCGGCGUGCCUAAUACAUGCAAGUCGAGCGAACAGACCAGGAGCUUGCUCCUCUGACGUUAGCCGCGGACGGGUGAGUAACACGUGUAUAACCUCCCUAUCAGACUGGGAUAACUUCGGGAAACCGGAGCUAAUACCGGAUAAUAUAUUGAACCGCAUGGUUCAAUAGUGAAAGACGGUUUUUCUGUCACUUAUAGCUGGAUCCGCGCCGCAUUAGCUAGUUGGUAAGGUAACGGCUUACCAAGGCAACGAUGCGUAGCCGACCUGAGGGGGGGAUCGGGCACAGUGGGGCUGAGACACGGCACAGGCACCGACGUGAGGCAGAAGUAGGUACGGGACGGAAAUGGGCGGAAGCCUGAAGGAGCAACGGAGCGGGAGUGAAGAAGGGCUUCGGAUCGUAAAACUGUGUUAUUGUUGAAGAACAAAUGUGUAUGUAACGAUGCGCGUCUGAAGGGAACGGAAGCAGAAGCACAGGCUUAAUUAGUG